Molecule: long non-coding RNA, 2734 nt
Organism: Uranotaenia lowii
Lineage: Eukaryota; Metazoa; Arthropoda; Insecta; Diptera; Culicidae
Exons: 3
Source: RefSeq, a predicted model, not a curated record
CCGGACCCACUCAGAGGUGGCAUCACUUGGAUUACUUUCAAUUAGUUUUUGGUGUGAAACUUCAAAGUGGAAAGCAAGGUGAGUGUCGUUGUCACAAUUAUUUACUAUUUGCUUUAUUAAACUGAUCUUUGUCAUCCAAUCUCGAUUCAAAUUUCGACAAUGUUUGAUUGAUUAAGUUUAAAAUAAUCAAGUUUUAUUUAUAUAAUUUUCUAACCCAUAAUCGCCCCCAUAGAAACAUCGACCCAUGCAAACAAAGCUUCCAAGGAAAUGUCCACACGGUACGGGUUCUGGUGGAAUGUCAUCCUGGACAUCGUAUCCGGAUCCGGAUCCCGGAUACGCUCAGAGGUGGCUUCACUUGGAUUACUUUUAAUCGGUUUUCGGUGUGAUAGUUCAAAGUGGAAAGCAAGGUGAGUACCGUUGUCACCACUAUUUACUAUUUGCUUAUUAAACUGAGUUUGUCAGAGAGGCUGACUACAAUAAGUGAUGAGGUUUAAGAAGAACAGCAUUGUGCAUUUCCUGAUCUCACACCAAAAAUUUUAUAAAUUUAAACGUGCCAGAAAUGCUUAAAGACAUAAAAUUUUUGUGCCAUAAUCUUGGAAAGAUAUAAUUCUACAUCACUUCCAAUUGAAACAACACAAGCACUCACACACAGCUCCAACUAAUAAAAUUAUACGAACCAUAAAGUUUAAAACAUCCAGUUUGGUUAACACAUUCACAUUUUAUCUAAACCUUCACUGUAAUCUUACAAGUCAAAAACAAUUUUUCUUUAAAUUACGUGUCAAAUAACUCAAAUUACCGAAUGAAAAAAAUCUAGUGCACAUAGUUUCCCGGCAUCGAAAAGAGAAACGUCAAAAUUGUGGUUUUAUUUUGGUCGUUCCUUUUUUGUUGUUUUGGUUCGAGUGUUGUUUUGUUUUGUGCUCGCGCAGUCAAAAUUUCAUCCAGUGGUUGCUUGCGCUUUCCGUUUCAGUGGCACUGAUAGUUUCAGGUGGUUCCAGUUUAAAAAUUUGAAUGGAAAAAAACCGAAUAAAACUAGGGAAUCCUAAACUUGUCCGAAUUCACCAUACCAGCAGAAACCACACAAUCAACAGCUCCAGCCGGACCUAACAGCGCAGCGAAAAGUGGACUUAAUUCCGUAAAACCGUCCAGUAGGCAUAAUCAAAAGGCAUUUGGAAUCAAUACCAUUUCGUACCAGUUCUGUACCAGUCCGACAUUUUGUUGUACCAGAGUUUCUAUGUAAUCCAGAACCUCCGGAGAUUAUGCACCCUUCUAUCAGAGAGCUCUGUCAUCAGUUCACGAGAUCGUGGCAAAAACUGUGUUUAUCAACGAACGGAUUAAUUCAUUUUUCGAAGUAUGUUUUCAUAUUCUGAUUUUGUAAGAUUUUGCUAAUAGACAUUUUCUUUCAGAUUUCCUUGCAACGUGACUGACUGUAGUAGCAUCGCAAGUUUAACAUGACUGGUUUUUGACCGUAGCUGGAGUAGCGAGCGAUAUCUCAAGGUCGUUUCUGUUGAGAAAAUUUUUCCUCACCAAAUAGAUACGCUUCGACAACUGGAUGCACACCUUUUUACAUGGAUGCAAUGGGGAUAAUAAAUUCAAUUACCUAGUGAAAUUCAAAUGGCGAUCAAGUGGACAACAUUUAUUUUGUUAAAGAUAAGAACUGCAACUGGAAAUUAUCACGAGCUUUGUCCACUUUGGUUGACGAAUAGUGGAUAAUGUGCAACAAGAGACCCAUAGUGGUCAUAUCACCUCCUUUUCACAACUUAUAUCUUAACCUCCCGUGGUGUCGGCUGGGAUGGGAUGCGAGUAACCUAAGCGGAGAUCGCGUACCCUAACUUGGUGGAUGCUUUCGUCGCAGAUCGAUGCAGAUUGAGAAGGUGGCCGCACGCGUCUAUUCUACAGGUCCAGGGGCAGCGUGAAACAACAACCGAGCGUCUUGUUGUUUGUGCCAAUAACACAAAAACCGGCGUCUAGCUUAACGUUGGCUUUGUUCCGAAUUAUCGAGUCGGCCGGUGGAUUGUCAUCGAUAGACAUGAAAAUUCGCAACUUGGACUACACACUCUGUGAUUGCGAUUAACCAGGACCUUAUCUGUUCUACAAGUAUCAAUCACCAGAUAACGGAGGGUGGUAAAAAUCUAUCGGUGGGACAGCGGCAGCUGAUCUGUCUAGCCCGUGCCUAAGACUGCGUAAGACUGAGGUUCUGAUUUUGGAAGAAGCUACCGCGGCGUAGAAACUCUCAUUUAGGAAACCAUUCGUACGGAGUUCAAGAUUGUACGGUACUCACGCACGAUAGCACAUAGUCUGAAUACUAUCAUGGACUCGGACAAGGUCAUCGUUUGGCCAGGGGCAGAUCACAGAAUACGCCGCACCGAAUAAACUGCUAUAAGACGAGCAAUCGGCUUUCUACAUCUGUUGUUACAAAUUAAGCUGAUUCCAUUAUGCACUCCGAAGUCAAAAAAUACAUUGACAUGUGAUAAUUUAGCGACAGUUGGAGCUGCCUUCACAGCAGUUGGACCAGUUUAGGAAAAAAUCCUCACUGAUCAGUUCUGGUCAGGGAACCGAUAUUCGUAAUGGUGUCCAAUAAUGCCGUAAUAAGAGCAACAAAUAGAGCUUUGGUCAAGGUAUUUUAGGGAAAUGAAUCUUCGUGACGCAUCGGUUUGAGCUAACGACCAGAAAACCGUCAUGAAGCGCCGGACCACAUGCCCUUCCAGCCACCGGUGAACAUGAAUCACCGGAUUCA